UUUUUGUUGGAAUUACGAAUUAGAACCAGGAUUGGUUCUUUGAAGGUGGAUUUGUAAGUAAUUAUUUUAUAUAAUUAAUAAAUGAAGGGUGGAAUAACAUGUGUACAUAUUGCCCGUCGCUCUCGUUUUUUGAGAUAAGUCGUAACAUAGUUGAUGGACUGGAAAGUGUAUCUUUUUGA
This 179-nucleotide ribosomal RNA is filed under the name Cleptoria sp. 389. Its description in RNAcentral is "partial small subunit ribosomal RNA". Lineage: Eukaryota; Metazoa; Arthropoda; Diplopoda; Polydesmida; Xystodesmidae. The record is from RNAcentral.